UGGGGAAUAUUGGGCAAUGGGCGAAAGCCUGACCCAGCCAUGCCGCGUGAGUGAUGAAGGCCUUAGGGUUGUAAAGCUCUUUCAUUGAUGAAGAUAAUGACGGUAACCAAAGAAGAAGCCCCGGCUAACUUCGUGCCAGCAGCCGCGGUAAUACGAAGGGGGCUAGCGUUGUUCGGAAUUACUGGGCGUAAAGCGCGUGUAGGCGGAUAUACAAGCAAGGGGUGAAAGCCCAGGGCUCAACCCUGGAACUGCCUUUUGAACUGUAUAUCUGGAGUAUUGGAGGGGAGUGCGGAAUUCCUAAUGUAGAGGUGAAAUUCGUAGAUAUUAGGAGGAACACCGGUGGCGAAGGCGGCACUCUGGACAAUUACUGACGCUGAGACGCGAAAGCGUGGGGAGCAAA
This 400-nucleotide ribosomal RNA is filed under the name uncultured bacterium. RNAcentral's name for it is "bacterial SSU rRNA". It matches the Rfam family "Bacterial small subunit ribosomal RNA", at positions 355 to 772 of the family's 1533-position model. The record is from RNAcentral.